RNAcentral lists this ribosomal RNA (609 nucleotides) under Pseudomonas sp. RNAcentral's name for it is "partial 16S ribosomal RNA". The record is from RNAcentral. Lineage: Bacteria; Pseudomonadati; Pseudomonadota; Gammaproteobacteria; Pseudomonadales; Pseudomonadaceae.
GUCCUAAUCUAUGGGACCAUCAUGUGCGGCAUUUGCUACAGCUGAUCGGCAACCCUAGGAACUCUAGAAUCACCGCGUCGAUUGCGUAAUUCAGCUGGCGGACCCCUCAUGCCGGCGUUCCAAUUUUGAGUUUACUUAACUGCCCCCGGGCGUGUUCGCCACCUCGUACACCAAAUUAAGCUUCGUUGCGCUUCUUGGAAUGGUCCGGAACUGUACGUCUCUUGAAAGGUCUCUACCUAACCACGGAAGCCCUCGAGACUGUGUCCACGACGUACCGACAGCAGUCGAGCACAGCACUCUACAACCCAAUUCAGGGCAUUGCUCGCGUUGGGAACAGGAAUCAAUGGUCGUGCAAUUCCACCCGUGAGAUUCCUCUGACGGCCACUGUUUGGCCUCCUUCCACCCCUACUGCAGUUCAGUAGUACCGGGAAUGCCGGACCCGAUGUGUGCACGAUGUUACCAGCCAUGUUUCCCAACGGUUCGGCGCUCCACCUCGAUUAGGGUAUUUUGGCUAGCAUCAGGCCUAGCGUCAGACGUUGAGCUGACGCACUUCAGCCUUAGCGAUCAUUAGCACUUAGUCUUACAGUGCCACUUAUGCAAGGGCCCGGA